AGUGAACGCUGGCGGUAGGCCUAACACAUGCAAGUCGAACGGCAGCACAGUAAGAGCUUGCUCUUACGGGUGGCGAGUGGCGGACGGGUGAGGAAUACAUCGGAAUCUACUUUUUCGUGGGUGAUAACGUAGGGAAACUUACGCUAAUACCGCAUACGACCUACGGGUGAAAGCAGGGGAUCUUCGGACCUUGCGCGAUUGAAUGAGCCGAUGUCGGAUUAGCUAGUUGGCGGGGUAAAGGCCCACCAAGGCGACGAUCCGUAGCUGGUCUGAGAGGAUGAUCAGCCACACUGGAACUGAGACACGGUCCAGACUCCUACGGGAGGCAGCAGUGGGGAAUAUUGGACAAUGGGCGCAAGCCUGAUCCAGCCAUACCGCGUGGGUGAAGAAGGCCUUCGGGUUGUAAAGCCCUUUUGUUGGGAAAGAAAAGCAGCAGGUUAAUACCCCGCUGCUCUGACGGUACCCAAAGAAUAAGCACCGGCUAACUUCGUG
RNAcentral lists this ribosomal RNA (492 nucleotides) under uncultured bacterium. Its description in RNAcentral is "partial 16S ribosomal RNA". It matches the Rfam family "Bacterial small subunit ribosomal RNA", at positions 29 to 507 of the family's 1533-position model. The record is from RNAcentral.